UGGGGAAUAUUGCACAAUGGGCGCAAGCCUGAUGCAGCCAUGCCGCGUGUGUGAAGAAGGCCUUCGGGUUGUAAAGCACUUUCAGCGGGGAGGAAGGCGGUGAGGUUAAUAACCUCAUCGAUUGACGUUACCCGCAGAAGAAGCACCGGCUAACUCCGUGCCAGCAGCCGCGGUAAUACGGAGGGUGCAAGCGUUAAUCGGAAUUACUGGGCGUAAAGCGCACGCAGGCGGUCUGUCAAGUCGGAUGUGAAAUCCCCGGGCUCAACCUGGGAACUGCAUUCGAAACUGGCAGGCUAGAGUCUUGUAGAGGGGGGUAGAAUUCCAGGUGUAGCGGUGAAAUGCGUAGAGAUCUGGAGGAAUACCGGUGGCGAAGGCGGCCCCCUGGACAAAGACUGACGCUCAGGUGCGGAAGCGUGGGGAGCAAACAGG
RNAcentral lists this ribosomal RNA (429 nucleotides) under Chloroflexota bacterium. RNAcentral's name for it is "Chloroflexi bacterium partial 16S ribosomal RNA". It matches the Rfam family "Bacterial small subunit ribosomal RNA", at positions 355 to 776 of the family's 1533-position model. Lineage: Bacteria; Bacillati; Chloroflexota. The record is from RNAcentral.